GUGGGGAAUUUUCCGCAAUGGGCGAAAGCCUGACGGAGCGACACCGCGUGGAGGAUGAAGUAUUUAGGUAUGUAAACUCCUUUUGGCAGGAAUGAAACAAAUGACAGUACCUGCAGAAUAAGCAUCGGCUAACUACGUGCCAGCAGCCGCGGUAAUACGUAGGAUGCAAGCGUUGUUCGGAAUUACUGGGCGUAAAGAGUACGUAGGCGGCAAUGAUAGUCUGAUAUUAAAGACUGGGGCUUAACCUCAGGAGUGUAUCGGAAACUUCAUAGCUAGAGGACAGUAGAGGAAGUUGGAAUUCCCAGUGUAGCGGUGAAAUGCGUAGAUAUUGGGAGGAACACCAGUGGCGAAAGCGAACUUCUGGGCUGUUACUGACGCUGAGGUACGAAAGUGUGGGGAGCAAACAGGAUUAGAUACCCUAGUAGUCC
Molecule: ribosomal RNA, 428 nt
Filed under: uncultured bacterium
Lineage: Bacteria
Description: bacterial SSU rRNA
Rfam family: Bacterial small subunit ribosomal RNA
Source: RNAcentral